Molecule: non-coding RNA, 28 nt
Filed under: Homo sapiens (human)
Lineage: Eukaryota; Metazoa; Chordata; Mammalia; Primates; Hominidae
Source: RNAcentral
GCCAUGAUUGAAAGCUUCCUGAAGCCUC